GUCGGCCGAUCACACUUAAGCUCUGAUACCUGUGUCCUGACGGAUAUGGUGUCAUGGCCGCAACCCUCGAGUUGCCAGGGUGCAGAAAGAAAUGACUGCAUCUCCCGUUUUGGAAAGGUGUCAACGGUGUCACAAU
RNAcentral lists this non-coding RNA (136 nucleotides) under Erwinia tasmaniensis. Its description in RNAcentral is "MoCo sequence". It matches the Rfam family "Molybdenum/Tungsten riboswitch aptamer (Moco RNA motif)". Lineage: Bacteria; Pseudomonadati; Pseudomonadota; Gammaproteobacteria; Enterobacterales; Erwiniaceae. The record is from Rfam by way of RNAcentral.